Molecule: unclassified non-coding RNA, 254 nt
Filed under: uncultured Acidimicrobiia bacterium
Lineage: Bacteria; Bacillati; Actinomycetota; Acidimicrobiia
Description: contains 16S-23S intergenic spacer region
Rfam family: Bacterial small subunit ribosomal RNA
Source: RNAcentral
UACGUAGGGUGCGAGCGUUAUCCGGAAUCAUUGGGCGUAAAGAGCUCGUAGGCGGUUCAUUAAGUCUGAUGUGAAAGCCCGAGGCUCAACCUCGGAAUUGCAGUCGAUACUGCUGUGACUCGAGUCCGGUAGAGGAGAAUGGAAUUCUCGGUGUAGCGGUGAAAUGCGCAGAUAUCGAGAGGAACACCAGUAGCGAAGGCGGUUCUCUGGGCCGGAACUGACGCUGAGGAGCGAAAGCGUGGGGAGCAAACAGG